This 1674-nucleotide long non-coding RNA is filed under the name Homo sapiens (human). Its description in RNAcentral is "non-protein coding lnc-VKORC1L1-7:4". The record is from RNAcentral. Lineage: Eukaryota; Metazoa; Chordata; Mammalia; Primates; Hominidae.
GUGCCGCGUCGCUUUCUUUUCUUCCUCUGGAGCAGUUAUGGCGGCGGCGAAGACCCUGAACCCCAAGGCCAAGGUGGCCGGAGCGCAGGCGGCGCUGGCGUUCAACAUUAGCGGGGCGCGGGGUCUGCAGGACGUGCUGAGGACCAACCUGGGGCCCAAAGGGACCAUAAAGAUUCUUGUUUCUGGCGCUGGAGACAUCAAGCUUACUAAAGACACAGGAGUUGACGAUCAGCCCUGGCCAACAUGGUGAAACUCAGUCUCUACUAAAAAUACAAAAAUUAGCCGGGCACGGUCCUGCACAGUGCGCUGCUUCACGAAAUGGGCCUUCAUCCCAGAAUAAUCACUGAAGGAUUUGAAGCUGUGAAGGAAAAGCCCUUCAUUUUUUGGAAGAAGUCAAAGUAAGCAGAGAGAUGGACAAGGAAACACUUAAAGAUGUGGCCAGGGCAUCUCUUUGUACUAAAGUUCAUGCUGAACUUGCAGAUGUCUUAACAGAGGCUGUAGUGGGCUCCAUUUUGGCCAUUAAAAGAAAAGAUGAACCUAUUGAUCUCUUCAUGAUUUUGUGAUCAUUGACAAGAAACAUAAAUCUGAAACUGAUACAAGAGAAGUGAAUUCUGGCGUUUUUUACAAGAGUGCAGAAAGAGAAAAACUCAUAAAAGCUGAAAGAAAAUUCAUUGAAGAUAGAGUUAAAACAAAUAAUAGAACUGAAAAGGAAAGUCUGUAGUAAUUCAGAUAAAGGAUUUGUUAUUAAUCAAAAGGGAAUUGACCCCUUUUCCUUAGAUGCUCUUUCAAAGAAGGCAUAGUCGCUCUUCACAGAGCUAAAAGGAGGAAUAUGGAGAGGCUGACUCUUGCUUGUGGUGGGGUGGCCCUGAAUUCUUUUGAGGACCUAAGUCCUGACUGCUUGAGACAUGCAGGACUUGUAUAUGAGUAUACAUUGGGAGAAGUUCACCUUUAUUGAGAAGUGUAACAACCCUCGUUCUGUCACAUUAUUGAUCAAAGGACCAAAUAAGCCCACACUUAGAUCAAAGAUGCAGUAAGGGAUGGCUUGAGGGCUGUCAAAAAUGCUAUUGAUGAUGGCUGUGUGGUUCCGGUGCUGGUGCCGUGGAAGUGGCAAUGGCAGAAGCCCUGAAUAAAUAUAAGCUCAGUGUAAAGGGCAAGGCACAGCUUGGAGUCCAAGCAUUUGCUGAUGUGUUGCUCGUUAUUCCCAAGGUGAGCCCGUGGUAGCAGCAGAAGCAGGCAUUAUGGGAUAACGAUUGUGUAAAGAAACAGCUUCUUCAUUCCUGCACUGGUUGCCACCAACAUUCUCUUGGUUGAUGAGAUCAUGCGAGCUGGAAUCUUCUCUGAAAGGUUGAAUUGAAGCUUCCUCUGUAUCUGAGUCUUGAAGACUCUGCAAAGUGAUCCUGAAGAAUACAGCUGUGGAAUUUUUGUCCAAGCUUCAAAUGAGUUUCAAGGGAAUUUUCCCAUGUGAAAAAAGGAGAGAACACUGGCAUCUGUUGAAAUUCGGAAGUUCUGAAAUUAUAAUCACAGUAUUUUUUAAAAAUUGCACUGAAGUGUACACAGAUAAAGCAGGUCUUUCACCCAGUGAACAGGAUGUUUUGCUUUAGCAGCAGUGACAUAAAAUUCCAUGUUAAAUAAGCAUAUAUUACCUACCUUAUUAAAUAUUCCUUGAAAAAGCAG